GAAUUCGCCCUUAGAGUUUGAUCCUGGCUCAGGACGAACGCUGGCGGCAUGCCUAACACAUGCAAGUCGAACGGAGUAUAUCCGACAGAACCCUUCGGGGGGACGAUGGAUAUCACUUAGUGGCGGACGGGCGAGUAACGCGUGAGCAACCUGCCUUUCAGUGUGGAACAACAGUUGGAAACGACUGCUAAUACCGCAUAAUGUGUAGUCACCGCAUGAUGACGACACCAAAGGAUUUAUUCGCUGAAAGAUGGGCUCGCGUCCGAUUAGAUAGUUGGUGGGGUAACGGCCUACCAAGUCGACGAUCGGUAGCCGAACUGAGAGGUUGAUCGGCCGCAUUGGGACUGAGACACGGCCCAGACUCCUACGGGAGGCAGCAGUGGGGGAUAUUGCACAAUGGGGGAAACCCUGAUGCAGCAAUGCCGCGUGAGGGAAGACGGUCUUCGGAUUGUAAACCUAAGUAGUCAGGGACGAAGAAAGUGACGUUACCUGAAGAGUAAGCUCCGGCUAACUACGUGCCAGCAGCCGCGGUAAUACGUAGGGAGCGAGCGUUGUCCGGAUUUACUGGGUGUAAAGGGUGCGUAGGCGGGUUUGCAAGUCAGGCGUGAAAUACCGAGGCUUAACUUCGGAGCUGCGCUUGAAACUGUAAAUCUUGAUUGAAGUAGAGGCAGGCGGAAUUCCCAGUGUAGCGGUGAAAUGCGUAGAUAUGGGAGGAACACCAGUGGCGAAGGCGGCCUGCUGGGGCUUUAACUGACGCUGAGGCACGAAAGUAUGGGGAGCAAACAGGAUUAGAUACCCUGGUAGUCCAUACUGUAAACGAUGAUUGCUAGGUGUGGGGGGACUGACCCCCUCCGUGCCGGAGUAAACACAAUAAGCAAUCCACCUGGGGAGUACGACCGCAAGGUUGAAACUCAAAGGAAUUGACGGGGGCCCGCACAAGCAGUGGAGUAUGUGGUUUAAUUCGACGCAACGCGAAGAACCUUACCAGGUCUUGACAUCCAACUAACGAAGUAGAGAUACAUUAGGUGCCCUUCGGGGAAAGUUGAGACAGGUGGUGCAUGGUUGUCGUCAGCUCGUGUCGUGAGAUGUUGGGUUAAGUCCCGCAACGAGCGCAACCCUUGUUUUUAGUUGCUACGCAAGAGCACUCUAAAGAGACUGCCGUUGACAAAACGGAGGAAGGUGGGGACGACGUCAAAUCAUCAUGCCCUUUAUGACCUGGGCUACACACGUACUACAAUGGCCGUUAACAGAGGGAAGCAAUCCCGCGAGGAGGAGCAAAACCCUAAAAACGGUCUCAGUUCGGAUCGUAGGCUGAAACCCGCCUGCGUGAAGUUGGAAUUGCUAGUAAUCGCGGAUCAGCAUGCCGCGGUGAAUACGUUCCCGGGCCUUGCACACACCGCCCGUCA
This 1406-nucleotide ribosomal RNA is filed under the name uncultured bacterium. Its description in RNAcentral is "bacterial SSU rRNA". It matches the Rfam family "Bacterial small subunit ribosomal RNA". The record is from RNAcentral.